RNAcentral lists this ribosomal RNA (483 nucleotides) under uncultured bacterium. RNAcentral's name for it is "partial 16S ribosomal RNA". It matches the Rfam family "Bacterial small subunit ribosomal RNA", at positions 30 to 507 of the family's 1533-position model. The record is from RNAcentral.
AUUGAACGCUUGCGGAAUGCUUUACACAUGCAAGUCGAGCGGCAGCACGGGGGCAACCCUGGUGGCGAGCGGCGAACGGGUGAGUAAUACAUCGGAACAUGCCCAGUCGUGGGGGAUAACACUUCGAAAGAAGUGCUAAUACCGCAUACGUCCUGAGGGGGAAAGCGGGGGAUCGCAAGACCUCGCGCGAUUGGAGUGGCCGAUGUCAGAUUAGCUAGUUGGUGGGGUAAAGGCCUACCAAGGCAACGAUCUGUAGCUGUCUGAGAGGAUGAUCAGCCACACUGGGACUGAGACACGGCCCAGACUCCUACGGGAGGCAGCAGUGGGGAAUUUUGGACAAUGGGGGCAACCCUGAUCCAGCCAUUCCGCGUGAGUGAAGAAGGCCUUCGGGUUGUAAAGCUCUUUCGGCAGGAACGAAACGGUGAGCUCUAACAUAGCUUGCUAAUGACGGUACCUGAAGAAGAAGCACCGGCUAACUACGUG